Cyprinus carpio carpio is the source of this 544-nucleotide long non-coding RNA. The record is from Ensembl. NCBI's taxonomy places the organism in Eukaryota, Metazoa, Chordata, Actinopteri, Cypriniformes, Cyprinidae.
GAAAAUUUCAAGUCAACAGCACCUUUAGAAUGGUGACACGUUCAAUACAUAUUUUACCCAUAUAAUAUGCUUAUACUUUUGUAAUUUUUGAACAAUGCAGUGUUUAUGUUUACAUUUUUAUUAAAGGUAAAACUACUCUUUUUUUUCUCUCUCAGAGCUUUGGUCAGUUUUGAGAUAUUGGGCUAUUUUAUUUAUUUAUUUAUUCUUUGUAUAAAGCGUUGUUUCAGACUACUGGGCAAAAACCAUCCAAACAAUUGUAUUUAUAUUUUUUUUUUACGUUUGUUUGUUCGUUCAGUCAGUCAUUCAGUCAUUCAAAUUCAAUUCAAAGUCCUGUGUGAUCAAUUCAAUUCAAAUUUUCCAUUAUGAACUUCAAGACAAAGUCAUUUCAUAAAGAUCGUAUUUUGCCCAAUCUUGGUCCCCAGAAUGUGUGAGCCUUCGAUCCCAGAAUGAGCUUUAAACUGCAGGUAUCACUUCCCUCCAGACUGUACUGUGUAAACUUUCUUUUGAUUUCUCAGUAUUGACUUCCCCGUCUCGCUGUUUUCUU